RNAcentral lists this ribosomal RNA (251 nucleotides) under uncultured bacterium. RNAcentral's name for it is "partial 16S ribosomal RNA". It matches the Rfam family "Bacterial small subunit ribosomal RNA", at positions 525 to 775 of the family's 1533-position model. The record is from RNAcentral.
ACGUAGGGGACAAGCGUUAUCCGGAUUUACUGGGUGUAAAGGGAGCGUAGACGGAUGGACAAGUCUGAUGUGAAAGGCUGGGGCUCAACCCCGGGACUGCAUUGGAAACUGCCCGUCUUGAGUGCCGGAGAGGUAAGCGGAAUUCCUAGUGUAGCGGUGAAAUGCGUAGAUAUUAGGAGGAACACCAGUGGCGAAGGCGGCUUACUGGACGGUAACUGACGUUGAGGCUCGAAAGCGUGGGGAGCAAACAG